Molecule: unclassified non-coding RNA, 380 nt
Filed under: soil metagenome
Description: partial contains 5.8S ribosomal RNA, internal transcribed spacer 2, and large subunit ribosomal RNA
Rfam family: 5.8S ribosomal RNA (bases 1-120)
Source: RNAcentral
GAUGAAGAAUGCAGCGAAAUGCGAUAAGUGAUGUGAAUUGCAGAAUUCAGUGAAUCAUCGAAUCUUUGAACGCACCUUGCACCCUUUGGCAUUCUGAAGGGUAUGCUCGUUUGACUGUCAUUGUACUCUCACACUCCCGAUCUUUGCAUUGGGAGCAGUGGACUUGGGUUUGCUGCUUCACCGUCGCUUACCUCAAAUAGGUUAGUGCAACUCUUGGUUGGACAUAGUACGGCGUGAUAAGUGUUCUUCGCCGGUGCCUCGCAAAGAGGGUGGCCGAUCGGGAUGUUGUGCUCCAAACCGUCUUCGGACAAUCUCUGACGACUUGACCUCAAAUCGAGUAAGACUACCCGCUGAACUUAAGCAUAUCAAUAAGCGGAGGA